AUGGCCAUGGAGAGGGGCUGGAAGGCCGGCAGCGCGUUUCGGUUUGAUGUGGUCGAGGAGGAGGACGAGGCGGCGGCGGCGGCGAUACCGCCGCCGCAGACGCCGCUCGAGCCCAUGGAGUACCUGUCGAGGUCCUGGAGCGUGUCCGCGUCGGAGAUAUCCAAGAUCCUCGUCGGUGGCAAGAAGAGCUGCUUCAACAGGCUGCCGCUGCAGGAGAUGGGCAUACCGGAGGCCUCCGCCGUGCUCGCCACCACGGCCAUCGUUCCGAGCUAUCGACACCACGUAAGCGAGCAGUCCACUGCCCACUCCCAUGCUGUCUCUGCUCUCUCCUUUCUGAAUGUUUCCGUCUGUUGUGUGGCCAUUUUCGAGCAGACAGAUGCAAGGCGGAGUUCCAUCAGCGGCAUCGGCCACCAUCAGUCCAUCGGCAAAUGGUUCCAGCACAAGGACGCGAGCCGGUCGAGGCAGAGCAGCAAGGAGAAGCUGCGCGCCGACAGGGCCCACGUGCACGCCAUGGUGUCGGUGGUCCGCGUCGCGGCCGCGGUGGCCGCCGUCGCGGCGGCGUCCACCAGCUCCGACACCCAGGCCUCCAAGAUGGCCGCGGCCAUGGCGCCGGCCACGGAGCUGCUGGCUUCGCACUGCGUCGAGGUGGCUCGGCUUGCCGGGGCGAGCCACGAGCAGGUGGCCUCCGCCGUCCAGUCCGCGGUCGGCGUCAGGAGCGCCGGCGAUCUGACGACGCUCACAGCGGCAGCGGCGACCGCGCUGCGAGGAGCUGCGACGAUGAAGCAGAGGGUGCAGCGGGAGGCGGCGAGGAGCAACGCGAGCGUUCUUCCUUACGAGAAGGGCCAUUCGUGGAGCCCUGAUGUCUGGUGCAAGGAAGGGGAACUGCUGAAACGCACAAGAAAAGGGGAUUUACACAGGACAAAAGUAUGUGUCUACAUCAACAGGAGGUCUCAGGUCAUGCUGAAGCUGAAAAGCAAGCACAUUGGAGGUGCACUGUCCAAGAACAACAAGAGCGUGGUUUACGGCGUAUACAGCAAGCUUCCGACGUGGGUGAUCGAGCCGGGAAAGGCCUUCAUGGAUGAGAAAUGCUGUUUUGGCCUGAGCACGGCGCAGGGUAUCGUAGAAUUCGAGUGUCAGGACGGCACGAGUAAGCAGAACUGGGUCGACGAUGUGCAGAACCUGCUUCGACAAGUUGCGGCAGAUGAUCGUGUGGGAGAUAAGCUGGAGUCGGUAGUGAAAGUGGGUUGA
RNAcentral lists this ribosomal RNA (1248 nucleotides) under Triticum aestivum (bread wheat). RNAcentral's name for it is "partial small subunit ribosomal RNA". Lineage: Eukaryota; Viridiplantae; Streptophyta; Magnoliopsida; Poales; Poaceae. The record is from RNAcentral.